UGGGGAAUUUUGGACAAUGGGCGAAAGCCUGAUCCAGCCAUGCCGCGUGAGUGAAGAAGGCCUUCGGGUUGUAAAGCUCUUUUGUCAGGAAGGAAAACUUUCGUGCUAAUACUACGGAAGGAUGACAGUACCUGAAGAAUAAGCACCGGCUAACUACGUGCCAGCAGCCGCGGUAAUACGUAGGGUGCGAGCGUUAAUCGGAAUUACUGGGCGUAAAGCGUGCGCAGGUGGUUUUGUAAGCUUGAUGUGAAAUCCCCGGGCUCAACCUGGGAACUGCAUUGAGGACUGCAAGACUAGAGUGUGGCAGAGGGGGGUGGAAUUCCACGUGUAGCAGUGAAAUGCGUAGAGAUGUGGAGGAACACCGAUGGCGAAGGCAGCCCCCUGGGCUAACACUGACACU
This 400-nucleotide ribosomal RNA is filed under the name uncultured bacterium. RNAcentral's name for it is "bacterial SSU rRNA". It matches the Rfam family "Bacterial small subunit ribosomal RNA", at positions 355 to 747 of the family's 1533-position model. The record is from RNAcentral.